Molecule: ribosomal RNA, 253 nt
Filed under: uncultured bacterium
Lineage: Bacteria
Description: partial 16S ribosomal RNA
Rfam family: Bacterial small subunit ribosomal RNA
Source: RNAcentral
UACGUAGGGUGCAAGCGUUGUCCGGAAUUAUUGGGCGUAAAGAGCUCGUAGGCGGUUUGUUGCGUCGGCUGUGAAAUCCCGGAGCUCAACUCCGGGCCUGCAGUCGAUACGGGCAGACUGGAGUUCGGCAGGGGAGACUGGAAUUCCUGGUGUAGCGGUGAAAUGCGCAGAUAUCAGGAGGAACACCGGUGGCGAAGGCGGGUCUCUGGGCCGAUACUGACGCUGAGGAGCGAAAGCGUGGGGAGCGAACAGG